Molecule: long non-coding RNA, 3311 nt
Organism: Pipra filicauda (Wire-tailed manakin)
Lineage: Eukaryota; Metazoa; Chordata; Aves; Passeriformes; Pipridae
Exons: 4
Source: RefSeq, a predicted model, not a curated record
GACCCUCCCCGCUCACCUGCCCCGGCGGGGAGGCCUCGCCGCAGAGCGCGGGGCUCCAGGGGCCGAGGCGGCCGCUCCCGCAGCCUCCGGCCGCCCCUCAUCCACAGCCGGGCGCGCGCCGCUCCGCCGCCGCCUCGCGCGCCGCCAUCUCGGCCCCGUCACCCGGGAGACGCUCCCGCCCCUUCCGGCCGCGCCGCUUCUCUCCGUCCCGAUCCCGGAGCACGGCCGGGCCGCGCUGCCCCCGGCGGCCUCACCACGCCCGCCUCUCCCCCGCGGCUCGGCACGGCGGCCGCCGGGCCACGGGGGAGUCCCACCCGGGUCUUUGUCCCUUGGAGGAACUGCGAUCAAAAGACAUUGUAUUUUAGCGGACUCAAGGUGCUGCACACGUGGCAGUAAAGGUUCCCGUGUGGUCGUCGGGAUGCUGAGCUGUAAAUCUGGUUGCUACUAAAAAACAAACGCCGCUGACAGCUUCCGAGGGCAUUGCGUUCCACCCAGCUACACUGGUACUGAGCCCAACAACUUCUGCUUGUGUUCAACUAAAGCAGCAUUUCUCCUUAUGGAAAGUAUUUUGGUUUUCCUUUCUCUGCUGGAAGAAACUGAGCAACUGCUGCCAGCUGCAGGGAACAUGCAUUGGCGAGUACUGUAUUUCCAGAAAGUUCUUCCAUAAAGACAUGUUGUACUCAGGAAAGUACUGAAAAAUGAAGGAUCCACCAUAUUUCUUCAUGGUUUGUCCUAGUAAUUAAACAGCUGUACUUUUAAAUUUGAAUCUGUCUGGCUUCUAUUUCCAGCAACUCUUUACACCAUUCUCUGUUAAAGUGCCCUUUGUUUCUUUUUGUCUCCCUGAGGAGAUUAUGACACAUCACAACCAUAUUUUGUAUCAUCUUUCUUUUCAAUAGAGUAACAUUGGGAGAUUUUUAAAGCUUAACUAGCAGUGUUAGCCCUCAAUAAAUUCUUUUCUCUUGCAGUGUUCCUUUUUUUUCUUCUUCCUUUCAAAAUUGUGAGUUGUACAUUAUGAGUGUCAGACUCACCAAUGCAGCGUGCAAAGCUAAGAUCAAUGUUAUCUCUGCUCAUUUGUAUUCAAAGAUCCCACGGAAACAGAUGAUUUUUUCACUAUGAUUUCCAGUGUCAUUGCUUUCCAGGGAAUUGUGUUGCUUUUGCCCUGUGCACUAGAUGAGAAAGCCCAACACUACACUGACUUUGUACACAGGCAGUGGAUCAGAGCCAGCCAGCAGAAGAGGCCAGGUUGCUCUGCCCUUGUCAGAUUUUAUCAGCAGCAACUUUAUACCUUACCUCAGGAUCAAUGAUUUAAAGGAUGGAUACCCCUUUCCUAGUGACUUCAACAAACAGGAAUCAGCAGGGAUUUAUUAGAAACUUUUUAUGAUCUGCUACUAAAUCACGUCACUAGUCAUAAGGUAAGCAAAAAGAACGUUUUUAAGAAUAGUACUGUUCAGGUGGAAAGCACCAUGGUAAAUUUGAAAUACACUGAAGUGAGAUUAGGCCUUUUGUCAUUCCAAGCAGAAUGCUGAUUAACCAAUUUAUUACACUAAAGUGGUGAAGUAUAAAUUAUUUAUGAGGAAAGGAAUUUAUUUUUCCUCAUCUUGAGCUCCAGUCAUUAUGCAUUUGGCUCUGCAGCCACAGCUGUUUCUUUUAGAAACUGAAUAGCUGAGAAAAAACAGGCCAAGUAGAACACAACUGAUUUCAAUUGCAAAUACUUAGAAAUUUAAAUAAAGCCAAAGAAAUACAGCAGAUAGAAGGACUGGAUAUUUUCAUUGCUCCAAUGAAAACUCAAUCACUAAGUAAGUUAAAGCCAAACUCUCAAGGUGCCACUACAAUUAAACAUAUUCCAUAAGAUGAGGACAUGGGCAAGGUAUUGCAGAGCUGUCACCCCAAAGGACCCUCCAGAGAGAAAUGAGAAGCAAUAAAUAUUUUGCAAUGGCACUAAUGGACUCUUACUGAAUUUGAGCAGAUUUCAGAUGUACUUAUUGUCCAAGUGGUAAAGGUCCAUACUGAAACAUUACAGCAGUAAACAAGAAUGAAGAACAACGGGGGAAAAAGGAGGGAAAUAAACCCCAAAAAACCAGCUGGAGAACUUGUGAUGGCAAAAUCACAAUGAUCUGUCUAAGAAGUGAAUACUUGUCUACAGAAAGACUGGGCUAAAUCAGCUACUAGAGUGUAUAUAGACUGGGCUGCCAGAUAAAAGAAGUAUAUGCCCACAGCCAAGUAUGUGGAAAAAAAACCCUCAUAAGGACAAUGUUCUGACUUACUCCUGAAUGUUACUGUUUUCAACACUCAACCAAAUGAGUAGAAACUGAGGCUCUGCAGAGAACAGUUUGCAGAACAAGCUACCCUAUGCAUCUGAGAAUAAACCUGCAGGUAAAAAGAAACCAUCUCCCAUUGCUGAUAUCGCUCCCAAUCUGACUUCAUUCUUAGAAGAUCCAUCAAGAUACCUCUGACCAGCAUAGUCCAGUGUAAUUUGGGUCUGCACAUAUUGUCCGACGUUUUUUGCCUAGCUACUGAAUGGAGGCUGCACUGGUGUUAUUGACAGAACUCAUGUGGGGAACACACAGCGUUGGGCUGCUUGUAUCAGAGAGCAGCCAGUGUUACCUGAGACAGGAGCCACUGGUGUAUCUCUGGAAGGCAGUCACUCUCUCCCCUUCCUUCUGGGUCUCUGAACGCUUUUGCAUUUAAAGCCACUCUGGGCAGAACUUUACAGCUUAUUUUUGGAAGCCAGUGAAAGAGCUAUUUGUCAAACCUUUAACUUCAGAUUGGUCAGCACAAUUUUCUGAAAAUUUAUACAGCGUUCAGUCUUCAUUCUGUGCCAAGAAUGAGUUGCCUGCAGAGAACUACACUGCACUUAUAGCAAUUGCACUUGAACCGUCAUGUUCUAGGUGGAAUCUCAAAUGUUUUCUAAUUAGACAACAAGCCUUCCACAGUUCACUGUAUGAAUACCUUAAAUCUCAGCCUCUCCCACCACAGUGAAGGAAAUCAAGUGGAAACUGAAGCAAGUUGCUGUGUGUCCAUGACAUGCUGGAGCCGUUCAUCAAGCAAAGACUUCUAAAAUCCUAUGCAAUAUAUUACAUCAGCAAAGACCUCUAAGAACAAGACUACAGAUGGUAUUUUAUAGCUUUGACAUAUAUAAAACACACUCAGCUAGCAUAUAUUUUGCUAGAUCAUGUGAAGAAACAUUCUGUACUCCAUCAAUUACUAGUAUUGGGUAAAUCAAGUGUAGAAUGAAGAGCUCAGAAAAAUUACAUAUAUGCACUUCAGACAGAACAUACUUGUAGCAAAUGAAGUUGCAGUCCAAAACUGAA